Solanum lycopersicum (tomato) is the source of this 8047-nucleotide long non-coding RNA. RefSeq lists it as uncharacterized. NCBI's taxonomy places the organism in Eukaryota, Viridiplantae, Streptophyta, Magnoliopsida, Solanales, Solanaceae. The record is from RefSeq and is a predicted model, not a curated record.
CCCCCAUCAUAUUUCUCUCUUUUAAAUUUAUAUCUUUUGUAAGUUUUUGGAGUGUGAAUUAAAAUCUUCAGCAGUUGUGCAUAUAAGAUAAUCGUAAGCAUGAUGAGGCCAUCUUGGACCUCUUCCUCUAAUAGAGGAAAGGGGAGAGGACGAGGAGGAAGGACGAACAAUAAUGUCCUAGCUCAAGUCGGAAACCAGAGGCUUAUAGCAGCAAAUAUCACAAAAACAUCUGCUCUCCAACUCGCUGCACAAAAUACGGUAAAUACAAAUUCUAUUUAUUUGGACUUGUUAUUCCUUGUCUUGUUUCAAUCGUGUUUGGCCGCUGUUUGAUUUAUCUUUGGUCGUUCUUUCUUGGCUGACCCAUGCUGCUCGACUCUCAGUUUAUAUAGUAUCCUAGAGGUUGAGUUAGAAUCAUUUUCGCGUUCAUCCGAUGUAUAAAAGAUGUGCUCUAAAUGUUGUCGCUCUUAUAAGUUUUAGAAUUCUUCUUUCAAGUUAGCUAUGAUAUUAAUAGUUCCAUCUUACUUGAAUGGAAUUUCUAAUAUUGUGUGAAAUUGCUGGUUGUCUCUUUCUUGGUGUUGCUGUCUCUUUAUGUUAUUUUGUGGCCAUUUCCUAUUCUCUUCUUUUCAGUCUAUUUGUUUUAAGUGGGUAAUCUAUUUAGCAUGUUUUAGUUUAUUGAUAUUUUGAGAUUGGUGUUCUUGUUCAAAAAAAUUCUAUCUGUUGUAUGUAGGGUUUAUUUGUUUGACCCUAUUCGAGUUUCCCCUCUUUUCUCAUGUUCGUAACUAAGUAUUCAUGACCAAGCGUAGUGAAGUUGGUUUGUUCUCCCUACCUCACAUCUCAAAAGGUCCAUUUUAGUAUAGAUAGCGUCAUUCACUUCAUCUUUAAAACAUUUGAAUGGUCUAAAGAGGUCUGUUGUUUCUCAUUUUUGCAAGGCUCUUCUCGUUGCUGGCCGAAGUGUUAUAUUGCGAUUUCUUCUGUCCAUAAAAUUGCAGCAUGUCUCCCUCUUCAGUUUUCCUUGGUUAAAUUUGUCCAACAAGCACUUUUUGGCUAGUUUUAGUGAUCGAAGGAAAGUGCUCAAACGACUAUCAUCAUCUGAAGAGUAGAAAUUUGUAAUUUUAGGCUCGAAACAUACAAAUAUAUGUGAACUGUUUUAUAUUCUAAGUUUUAGUGACUGAUUUUUUAGCAUGUUGUUGUUAGUCAAUAUACAAGUAGCUCUCUCUCAUCUUUGUCGAAAUUCAAAUAUAUCUGUACUAGUUUUAGUUUUCCGUCCAUCUCAACUACUUAUAUGGUAUCUUCACUUAGCAAUGUCCUUUUUGGAUUUCAUGUAUAUCCGUGUCUGCUUGCGUUUACCGCCAGCAUUUUAGCUUGAGAAAAUAGAAUCGUUGGGGUCAGUUUAUUAUAGUUACAAUUUAUCACUUCUCUUAGAAAUGGUGUGGCAAAAUCAAUUCAUUUUCUCUACUUUUGCUUGGGAAAUUGUGUUUGCUCCCUCCUUAGCAUUGUUAGUUUUCAUUAAAUAAAGUUGGAUAGACUAAAGUCUGUGAUUGUUUUAUUUGCUAAUUAUCCACUUGUUUUCUUUAAAUGCUUGGAGUUUUUAAGUUUUUUAGUGAACAGUUGUAUAUCCCCUGGAACAUAGCAAGCUCAUAAGUGAACAUACACGCAUAUAUAUGUACAACCGUUAGUUUCGUGAUCCGCUUAUUAUCUUUGUCCCUUUUAACUUGCUUAUUUAAUUUUUCGUUAGAGUAGUAUUUCUGUUCAAUUUAAUUUCCUUGAAUAGCAUCCAUUUUAAUCAAAUUCCAUUUUUUUAAGUUAUACCUUAUUUGUUCUAUAACUUCGUGUGAUAACCCUUGCAAUUUUUUUGAUACAUGUGAAAUCUACCUCCGAGUCUUCAUGGACUCCAUUUUGUCCCUGCAUUUCAAUAGAGUUACAAAGAAUCAUAAUGCCUUUCGAUUGAACCAAUCAUUAGAAAUCGACGUAUAGGUCUCGAUGAUUAAAGAAUCGAAGGAGAUUAGAUAAAUUUGACGGAGUGGAGACAAAGUGUCCAAAAUUUUAUUUUGGUAGCGUUGUAUUUUUUAGUUUGGGCCUAGACCUUGUCGUCUUUUCUUUUCUGUAUUUAUGAUUCGUUAAUUGUCUGUUUAUCUUACGACAGGUACAAAUAAAAGUGGUCCAAAUACCGGUCCAGGCAGACAGAAACCGAUUUGGGCCCAACCAACUCUCUCUCUUUGUCUCUUUAUUGUUUUAUGUUUUUUUUAAUUUACCAUUAGUUCUAAGGUCGAAAGACUCAAAUCCACUGCAAGGCGCUAUUUCAUUUUAAUAAUUCAAAAUAGAUCAAUCGAUUUCAAAUGGACUUAAAAACAAAAAAAAUUGAAAAAUAAACAAAUCAUUUAGAUAAAUUUUAUCUUACCUUUUUGAAAGACUUCUAAAGAAAUUUGAUUCAAGGUAUUUUUAAAGUCAGACAAGUUUGUUGCUGGAAAACUGAAUUAACAGAUAUUGUAAAUUUCGUAAAAACCAUUCAAAAAUAUAAGUGAGAAUUCCUGAACCCCCUUUGAAAUUUUCAAUUGGUUUCCUGUUUGAAGUCGUUUGAAAACCAAGUUUUCUUAAUUUUUCUUAAAAAUUUUAAAAAUUAAGUGGAACCUCUAAUUAAGUCUAAAACAACAUAAAAUAUUUUCAUUUUCGAAUAAAACAGUGUUUGUGUCUAAAAAGUGUCCAAAAAAAUAAAAAAAGAAUGGCCUAAUAUGUGUUACAUAUGCAGGAGGAAAAAUCAAAAAUUUGUUGAAAAUUGUCUGGUGCAGAGGCCUACAGACCCCAUUGACGGUCUGUCUCUUGAUCGACAGAACUUAAAGGACGUAUGCUGAUCGCAGGUACAAUGACCCCGAAGAUGAAAUUAGUGUACUCAAAGAAAGGCAAAUCCAAGUCAUUUUCCCCGUCUUAUCAAUUGAUCAAUGAAGACAAUGAUACAGAGCAGGACCAAUCCUAUGUUCCUUCUCGUAUGCAAACACCACCAGCAUCAUCCCGAUAACCUAGGAGCAACCUACGGAAGGUGCACCUUGACUUAGUCACUACCUCCCUAAAUGAGGAGCACACAUUGACCAAUUCACAAACAGGGGAUGCGUCCAGUUCAGAGGGGCCUCAAUAUCAAGCUCUGAGUCCGCCAUAACUUCAGGUUCAGGGUUAGCCAGUCUUCAAUGUCCAAGUCGGCCACUAACACUGAUUCCAACUUUCAGGGAGCCACGAGAUCAGGGGGUCAAGAACAACAAGGCAUGUCUGAUGAGGCCACUAGUUUGGAUUUUGCACCUGCACCCUAAACAAAUUACUCCACCCUUGUUGUAGAUGAACUAAACAUGUGAUGUGUGGAUGGGAAAUUAUAGGUAUAUAGAGAUGCAAAGAUGCUCAAUAAGAAAGGGGUGAUGACUCAAUUGAAUAAUGAGGAGCGUAGAGUUCUCACCGGGAUUUUUCAUAUAGUUUUAGAGGUGCAAAGACUCCUUAAUCUCUAAAAAUCCGACUGGAUGGAUCAGGACUUGGACCCAUAUAGUGAGGAGAUUGUUCGGGAGUUCUAUGGCUCUUAUCUUGCUACCCUCCAGGGGUCUAUCCACAACCGGGCCAAACUCACAAAGCAAGACCCUCUCACAUACACCAUCUGUCGAUUCCUAUAUAGUCCCACCACCGGUAUAACAUGGAGCCUCAACAGCGUAGAGUUCGGUUACUGGUGGGAUACAAUAUGAGGAGGAGAUCUUCAGAGAAACGCAGAGAAGAAGGAGGCAGUGAAACUGUGGUUAGCUCAAUAUAUUGUAGUAGCUGGGGAGAUGGCUGACUGGGUUAUAAAUCCCUGAGGGCUCAUAAAAGAGACUACAGUCACUUUUGUGGACAAAUUUUUCUGGAUGUUGGUCCGACACCGAGUAUCACCCACAAAGGCCGACAAUGUACUUACAUGGGAUAGGGCGGAGAUGGUGGCAACACUGGUAGUUGGGCUGGAGAUAAACUUUGCAUGAAAGAUUUUAGUGGAGAUAUGCGAGAGUAAAUUUAAGACCUCAACCACUUACCCCUUUCUGUAUCUUAUCUAUUGGAUAUAGAGGGACGUUGGAGUGCCAAUUUGUCACUGUGACCCACUCCGUCGACUUACCGGGACAUUGGAUAUAAGACUCAUAAAAGAUGAGGAUAAUAUAGCGGCACACCAUAGAGGGCCUCGGAAUGAGGUUCCCCAGUUGUGUGAAAAUUUGGUAGAUAGAGUGGAGCUAGCCCAAGACGCUGAUCCUUCUGUAUAAGAGCAUGAUGACCCCAUUCAGGACUCCUCUUCGGAUGCAGCCAACAAGCCCCCCAGCUCAUCCAGAUCCAUACCACCACCUGCAGCACUGAUCCCUUUAGCUUGAGUCUAAAAGUUGUAGGUGCAGAUUACCACCUUGCUCCAUCAUAAUCAUCCAUGGAUGCAGAUAUCCAUAGCCGAUGCAGAAGACCACAUGUAGAAGCGGGUGGCCAAGCAGGAAAAGCAAUACAUUAAAGAAGUCCACAAAUUCCUUGAUGCAUCCGAGCUACGUGUUAUAGCACGACCAACACCCACCACUGACCUCACUGCCAUACAAAUUGAGUAGGCCAGCUUUCGAGCCAAUGUUGAUACCAUUUUAGAGAUUCAAGGAGCUGAGCCAGAGAUUGGUCGCACUGAACUAGCUGAGGACACUAUGCUUGAAGCCUUAUUCAAGCUACCUGUUGAGACACAAUCCGAGCCACAUGUUUGUAGAACGAGGCACUGCUCCAGCCACAUCACUAAGGUGGAUGAUGAGACCCGUCUAAGAAAGAAGGAGCGGACGGAGAUGGGGCAGUCUAGGAAGUCCUCGCUAAUGGAUGAGGAGAUACGCCUUAAGAAGGCACAAAAGAUAGUUGCUGGGGCAUCCAACUCUAUUCUUGAGAGCGGACCGAGUAGAACUAUUGAUGGUGUUGAGAUAGAGGAGGAUGAAACUACUGAUGGUUCCAUCCUUAGAGAUGUGGGCACUACUAAAGGAAGCACAAUUUCAAAUCCAAUGGGCUCCGAGAGACUAGACCCACCCACUUGUUGAGAGAUCUUCGGUGUUAUACGCCACAUGUUUGUUUCACCUAAUACCACACUGUCACUAAUUUCAUAUAAAUUAGGGACAAUUAAAAAAACAAAUUGUUAGGGGUGGAGUAAAUGGAUUGCAAGUGGUAGAAUAAUGUCUUAGUAGCCCAAGUCAUGAUCCUCUCUUGAGGUUUUCUUGCCCGUUUUCUUUUUCCCCAAAAGACUGCUUAAAUUUCUAUUGGAUCGACAUGUAUUAGUGGGUAGAAGUGUAGAGGCAUGAAAGACAAAAAAAAAUGAUGGCUAAUAAAUAAUGAUACCCGCUCCCAUUGUAAUUUUUGCAUAUAAAGGUUAAGAUAAGUUUAAUGUGUUGGUUCUAAACAUGACAUAAAAAGACACUCACUACAUAACCUUCCACUAAAACCUGAACUGGGAAAUCUUAUAAUCUGACAAUGAAAUGAUGUUCCAAGAGAGUGUGAGGAUAUUCGAGUGUUUAACUGUUGGUGCCUAACUAGAACUUUUCGGGUUAGUACUGCAAAAGGAAUCUACUCAAGUUGACCAAAUAAAAUAACUGUCCCUUAUGAUCCAAAUAUGUCGAGCCUAUAAUAGACCAAUUUUUUUGCUUCACUAACUCUACUUCCCAGGGUCUAUUUUUUUCCCUAGUGUCUCCUUGGACAUAUGCACCUCAACUUAGGCCAAAAUCCUAAGUUUAGGGUCGCUAAUGUAGAAAGUGACCUUAUCUUGGACCUUACCUGACCUCGGGUAUUUUGUACUUCAACCAUAGAAAAGUCAUGAGUUAAUGGUGACUAUUAUGAGAGAAGACCCAAAAAUGGGUAUGAAAAGAGUUGGAUGUUUAAAAUAAAAUCUUAAGUAAGAGAAAUAUGAGACUUGUCAAAAAAUAAAAAAUCUGUUGAAAAACAAAUAAUGAAAGUCACAUCUAAAAAUGGAAAUAAGGCAAAGGAAAGAAGAGAAAACAAAUAGGGGGUCAAAAGCAAUAAAAAAAGGUAAAUAGCUUAGCGGUAAUGUCAAGAAGGUCAGGAAGUCACUUAAUGUACCUAAAUGUACCACACCUGACCCCGAGCCUACAUUACAAUCAAAGAAAGUCCUACCGUGAUCCUAAAGUCUACUGUAGUUAACCUAAGCAGCAAAAAUAAGGGCAAGCCUAUGGCAUGGAGCACUAACAUUAUUUGAACUCAUUCCUGAGUGUGAUGUUGAACAAAGAUCCUUGUACCCAAAAUGCAAUAUCACUAUGUGAAAACUGAGAUUUCUUUUAUAGUGAGGACACUAGUUGCAUUAUGUGAAAGUUGGUACCUUGGUGAGAGGAAAAACAAUAGAGGUGUCUGUUGCAUGGUGAAUUUGUGUCAUGAUGUGAUCUGUAUGUGUCGGCUUAUCGAUCCUUAGAGAAUAGGCCUGCAAUCAAUCAAUAAAGAGUCAAGAUAGAUAGUUAGAUGAUUGCUAGAGCUUAGAGUGUCUACUCCUAUACAAAUAUCGUUUAGGGUCAUGGUGUGUCUCUUGAGGAAAAAUAACGAAUUUGAGUUGAGGGUGUUGAUAUACCAUGAUUUCACGGUAUUUUUAAUUCAUUUCACUUAAGAGUUUUGUGUGUGUAUAUCCAAGUGGUUUUAACAAGUUUUGUGUAUUGUUUGGCAGGAAAGAUGUUCACGCUAAAAAUGGAGAAGAUAAUUGAUAAAAGUGCAGAAAUAGACUUACGGAGGUAAUCGAUAGACCGUAGUUGGUGAUCGUAGAUAGGAAAAUUGGAAAACGAAGAAAAAUCAGGAAAGUCUAAGUAUAGAAUCACGAGAGGAAUCGACGAUCCAUUGACUGAUCGAUAGACUGUACUAGUGAGCUAUCAUUUAAUUCAAUACCUGAUUUUUGAAGAUUCUAAGCAUCGAACAAUGGAUGAGCAUCGACGGCCUGUGAUAAAACCUUAAUUUUUGGAGAUAGUUACUAUUACUCUUGUCCUAGUAUCUGUAUUGGAGAUUGACUUUUGCAACUUUAGAAAUGCAUGGUGAAAUUAACUAGAUGUCGGACCAAGGAUUUAGAGAUACCUAACUUAUCACUUUGAAUGUAAUACACUAAGAAAGGAUUGCUAUUGCCAUAAAUAUUGUGUUAUGAACCUGUGGGGAACACAAACACUAUAAUUACUUUCUCAUCUUGAUAACAACCAAAGUCUACUUUUUUCACUUGAUAAUCAUACUAUUUAAGGAAUUUGUUUCACAAACUCCCCUUCACUUACAUGUUUCGGAAAGACAUUGACUAAAAAAAUAUAAUUGUGAGUUAAAUUUAAGUCUACACCAUUUUCCUCGUGGUUUCGACCUCAACCUACAAGCUGAUGUUUUUAAAAGAGGUGUAACUUGAGCAUAUCAGGGACUCAAUUUAAUAAUCUUCCAGCUAGUCAGAGUAUUGUGCAUGUCGUGUGCAGUAGACCAUAUAGUGGUCGUACUUUCUUUAAAUAUGGGGAACUUGGACACAUAAUGAAACACUUCCCACAACCAUGAUCACUCGAGUCCGGACAGCAACCUUCUCAAUCAAUUGUGCACGUGGGGAUAGUAAUAAUGGUAAAGGUUGUCCACAAGUUGGGAGAGGAGGAUGUUAGCUAGGCCUUGGAGGUAGAGAAAAUGGUAACAUAUGUAGAAGUAACGUGCAACCUUGAAUGGAGGUGGCUUGUGUGGAUGAUAGCGCAUAAUGUUAUGCCUUUCUAGGCAACAAUGAGGUAGAGGCAUCCGAUGAAGUGAUCACAGGUACUAUUCUAGUUUGUGACUGGAUUGCUAAUAUGUUGUUUGAUAUGGAAUCGACCUAUUCUUAUUUGUCUAUAAGUUUUACAUUUGAUUUAGAUAUGUUAUGUGUUAUUCUUGAUGUCCCUAUACAUAUUUCCUCCCCGAUUGGAGAGUCAGUCAUAGUCACUCAUGUAUAUCGUGUUUGCCCUAUCUUGUUUAUGGAAUUUCAAACUUAGGGUGAUUUUGUCAUUUUGGACAUGGAUAAUUUUUAUAUUAUCUUAGGCAUGACUUGGUUUUCUCCCUAUUAUUUUGUGCU